GACGAACGCUGGCGGCGUGCUUAACACAUGCAAGUCGAGCGGUAAGGCCCUUCGGGGUACGACGAGCGGCGAACGGGUGAGUAACACGUGGGUGACCUGCCUCUAGCUCUGGGAUAAGCCUGGGAAACUGGGUCUAAUACCGGAUAUGACUCCACGGCGCAUGUUGUGGGGUGGAAAGCCUUGUGUGGCUAGAGAUGGGCCCGCGGCCUAUCAGCUUGUUGGUGGGGUGAUGGCCUACCAAGGCGACGACGGUAGCCGGCCUGAGAGGCGACCGGCCACACUGGGACUGAGACACGGCCCAGACUCCUACGGGAGGCAGCAGUGGGGAAUCUUGCGCAAUGGGCGAAAGCCUGACGCAGCGACGCCGCGUGAGGGAUGACGGCCUCGGUUGUAACC
RNAcentral lists this ribosomal RNA (396 nucleotides) under uncultured bacterium. RNAcentral describes it as "bacterial SSU rRNA". It matches the Rfam family "Bacterial small subunit ribosomal RNA", at positions 28 to 430 of the family's 1533-position model. The record is from RNAcentral.